This 267-nucleotide long non-coding RNA is filed under the name Phoenix dactylifera (date palm). Its description in RNAcentral is "long non-coding RNA (PDAC_LNC019260)". Lineage: Eukaryota; Viridiplantae; Streptophyta; Magnoliopsida; Arecales; Arecaceae. The record is from RNAcentral.
AUAACAAAGGCACCAUAGCACUAGCUAAAGAGCCAAGGUCUCACCAGAAGCCGAAGCACAUAGAGCGGCGGUUUAACCAAAUAAGCGACUACCCAGAAAAGAAAUAAGUAGAGGAUCAGAGAGUAGACUCCACAGGAAAUGUGGUGGACCCAUUCACUAAGCAGAUAAGUCAGCAGAAAACUAAAGCACAUCUUGAGAAGAUGGGGCUUAGGUUUAUGGCUGAUUGGCUUUAGUGCAAGUGGGAGAUUGUUAGAAGUAUGCCCUAGA